This 422-nucleotide ribosomal RNA is filed under the name uncultured bacterium. RNAcentral's name for it is "bacterial SSU rRNA". It matches the Rfam family "Bacterial small subunit ribosomal RNA", at positions 355 to 774 of the family's 1533-position model. The record is from RNAcentral.
UGAGGAAUAUUGGGCAAUGCCCGCAAGGGUGACCCAGCAACGCCGCGUGGAGGAUGAAUGUCGUAAGAUUGUAAACUCCUGUUAGAGGGGAAGAAUAGUACCGGUUGGACCGGUAUAUGACUGUACCCUCAGAGAAAGCCCCGGCUAACUACGUGCCAGCAGCCGCGGUAAUACGUAGGGGGCAAGCGUUGUCCGGAUUUACUGGGCGUAAAGCGCAUGCAGGUGGUUUUGUAAGUUGGAUGUGAAAGCUCCUGGCUUAACUGGGAGAGGUCGUUCAAAACUACAAGACUUGAGAUUGGUAGAGGAAAAUGGAAUUCCGGGUGUAGUGGUGAAAUGCGUAGAUAUCCGGAGGAACACCAGUGGCGAAAGCGGUUUUCUGAACCAAUUCUGACACUCAGAUGCGAAAGCUAAGGUAGCAAACG